GUUUAGAGUAGAUGGGAGGUCUGG
Molecule: non-coding RNA, 24 nt
Filed under: Cricetulus griseus (Chinese hamster)
Lineage: Eukaryota; Metazoa; Chordata; Mammalia; Rodentia; Cricetidae
Source: RNAcentral